AACGAACGCUGGCGGCAGGCUUAACACAUGCAAGUCGAACGGACGUAGCAAUACGUUAGUGGCAGACGGGUGAGUAACGCGUGGGAACAUACCCUUUGGUUCGGAAUAACUCAGGGAAACUUGAGCUAAUACCGGAUAAGUCCGAGAGGAGAAAGAUUUAUCGCCGAAGGAGUGGCCCGCGUCUGAUUAGCUAGUUGGUGAGGUAAUGGCUCACCAAGGCGACGAUCAGUAGCUGGUCUGAGAGGAUGAUCAGCCACACUGGGACUGAGACACGGCCCAGACUCCUACGGGAGGCAGCAGUGGGGAAUAUUGGACAAUGGGGGCAACCCUGAUCCAGCCAUGCCGCGUGAGUGAUGAAGGCCUUAGGGUUGUAAAACUCUUUUGUCCGGGAAGAUAAUGACUGUACCGGAAGAAUAAGCCCCGGCUAACUUCGUGCCAGCCGCCGCAGUAA
RNAcentral lists this ribosomal RNA (451 nucleotides) under uncultured bacterium. RNAcentral describes it as "partial 16S ribosomal RNA". It matches the Rfam family "Bacterial small subunit ribosomal RNA", at positions 29 to 523 of the family's 1533-position model. The record is from RNAcentral.